GCGGGCGUAGUUCAGAGGCAGAACAUCAGCUUCCCAAGCUGUUUGGCGGGGGUGCCGCGACCAGCUGGAACUGACGAAAGGCCUGGUCACAGGCUUUUUGUAGUAUCCCCCAGUGUCCGCCCGUG
Molecule: transfer RNA, 125 nt
Filed under: Actinomycetota bacterium
Lineage: Bacteria; Bacillati; Actinomycetota
Description: tRNA-Gly
Source: RNAcentral